GCGAGAGUAGUAUAAUGGUAUUAUGACAGCCUUCCAAGCUGAUGAUGAGGGUUCGAUUCCCUUCUCUCGCU
RNAcentral lists this transfer RNA (71 nucleotides) under Acidimicrobiales bacterium. RNAcentral's name for it is "tRNA-Gly". It matches the Rfam family "tRNA". Rfam says of the family: Transfer RNA (tRNA) molecules are approximately 80 nucleotides in length. The record is from RNAcentral. Lineage: Bacteria; Bacillati; Actinomycetota; Acidimicrobiia; Acidimicrobiales.